This is a long non-coding RNA of Alnus glutinosa, 570 nucleotides long. RefSeq lists it as uncharacterized. NCBI's taxonomy places the organism in Eukaryota, Viridiplantae, Streptophyta, Magnoliopsida, Fagales, Betulaceae. The transcript has 3 exons. The record is from RefSeq and is a predicted model, not a curated record.
GUGAAAAAAAAAUGAUGGUUAUGAAAUGUGUUAAAAAACUUACGCUGAUGAUGAUGGGAUUGCUUAUCUUUAUUCUUCUUCAUGUGCACGCUAAUGACCUUGCCCCUACCUCAUUCUAUCUGUCUUCACCUCCCAUCCCGCUUCCUUAUUCCUCUACAAUUGAUGAAGCAAAAAGACCAAAUAAGAAAGCAACGCCGCACUUCUCCCUUACAAUGGUAGUUAAAGAUUGUGAAUAUAAGAAAGAAAAAAAAAAAAAAAUCAUCGCCAAUGUCCGACUUUAAUUAUGGACUUUAUAUUAGUCAAGGUUUUGAUGAUUGUUUGGUUCAUGGUGAAUAUAAAGAACACUUACGUAUGUUUGAAGAUUGUCUCAGAACCGAAUGCUCUGGAUUGGUAUAUGCUUCAAAAGCCCAUGUGAUUGCUAGCUAGCUACCAAGGAUUUGCCUUAGCUACGUUCAGAGAAGUGAUCUAUAGUUUGAUCUAGAAGGCCAGAAUCAUCUCCCAUAACAUAGAAAACCAAAGAGCUAUUUUCCACAUACAUUAAUUUUGUGCAUUUUUAUUCUCAAUUAAGGG